AACGGAGGGUGCGAGCGUUGUUCGGAAUCACUGGGCGUAAAGGGCGUGUAGGCGGUCCGCUAAGUCUGAUGUGAAAGCCCGGGGCUCACCCCCGGAAGGGCAUUGGAAACUGACGGACUCGAGUCCCGAAGAGGAGGGUGGAAUUCCUGGUGUAGCGGUGAAAUGCGUAGAUAUCAGGAGGAACACCGGUGGCGAAGGCGGCCCUCUGGACGGUGACUGACGCUGAGACGCGAAAGCGUGGGGGGCAAACAGG
Molecule: ribosomal RNA, 253 nt
Filed under: uncultured bacterium
Lineage: Bacteria
Description: partial 16S ribosomal RNA
Rfam family: Bacterial small subunit ribosomal RNA
Source: RNAcentral